GAUGAAGAACGUAGCGAAAUGCGAUAAGUAAUGUGAAUUGCAGAAUUCAGUGAAUCAUCGAAUCUUUGAACGCACAUUGCGCCCGCUAGUAUUCUGGCGGGCAUGCCUGUCCGAGCGUCAUUUCAACCCUCAAGCCCCCGGGCUUGGUGUUGGGGAUCGGCUCUGCCCUUCUGGGCGGUGCCGCCCCCGAAAUACAUUGGCGGUCUCGCUGCAGCCUCCAUUGCGUAGUAGCUAACACCUCGCAACUGGAACGCGGCGCGGCCAUGCCGUAAAACCCCAACUUCUGAAUGUUGACCUCGGAUCAGGUAGGAAUACCCGCUGAACUUAAGCAUAUCAAUAAGCGGAGGA
This 348-nucleotide unclassified non-coding RNA is filed under the name soil metagenome. RNAcentral's name for it is "partial contains 5.8S ribosomal RNA, internal transcribed spacer 2, and large subunit ribosomal RNA". The stretch from base 1 to 120 matches the Rfam family "5.8S ribosomal RNA", at positions 35 to 154 of the family's 154-position model. The record is from RNAcentral.